This 308-nucleotide ribosomal RNA is filed under the name uncultured fungus. Its description in RNAcentral is "eukaryotic LSU rRNA". The stretch from base 1 to 52 matches the Rfam family "5.8S ribosomal RNA", at positions 103 to 154 of the family's 154-position model. The record is from RNAcentral. Lineage: Eukaryota; Fungi.
AACGCACCUUGCGCUCCUUGGUAUUCCGAGGAGCAUGCCUGUUUGAGUGUCAUGUAAUCAUCAACCUUCCGGUUACUUUUUUUUGUAGUCGGUCGGAUUGGAUUUGGAGGUUAUGUUGGACUUGAUGUUCGACUCCUCUUGAAUGUAUUAGCUGGACUCUGUCGCUCCGUAGCGAGUUACUUACGCGGUGUGAUAAUUAUCUACGCUUGGUUGUCUUUGGAACGUUGUGGUCUGGCUUCUAAUCGUCCUCUCUGGACAAUAUUUCAAUCUUUGACCUCAAAUCAGGUAGGACUACCCGCUGAACUUAA